UUUUUUUUUGGUUUGUUUU
Molecule: small RNA, 19 nt
Filed under: Arabidopsis thaliana (thale cress)
Lineage: Eukaryota; Viridiplantae; Streptophyta; Magnoliopsida; Brassicales; Brassicaceae
Description: ATSL302510
Source: RNAcentral